GACGAACGCUGGCGGCGUGCUUAACACAUGCAAGUCGAACGGAAAGGCCCUGCUUUUGUGGGGUGCUCGAGUGGCGAACGGGUGAGUAACACGUGAGUAACCUGCCCUUGACUUUGGGAUAACUUCAGGAAACUGGGGCUAAUACCGGAUAGGAGCUCCUGCUGCAUGGUGGGGGUUGGAAAGUUUCGGCGGUUGGGGAUGGACUCGCGGCUUAUCAGCUUGUUGGUGGGGUAGUGGCUUACCAAGGCUUUGACGGGUAGCCGGCCUGAGAGGGUGACCGGCCACAUUGGGACUGAGAUGCGGCCCAGACUCCUACGGGAGGCAGCAGUGGGGUAUAUUGCACAAUGGGCGGAAGCCUGAUGCAGCAACGCCGCGUGCGGGAUGACGGCCUUCGGGUUGUAAACCGCUUUCGCCUGUGACGAAGCGUGAGUGACGGUAAUGGGUAAAGAAGCACCGGCUAACUACGUG
Molecule: ribosomal RNA, 468 nt
Filed under: uncultured bacterium
Lineage: Bacteria
Description: partial 16S ribosomal RNA
Rfam family: Bacterial small subunit ribosomal RNA
Source: RNAcentral